AACGAACGCUGGCGGCAUGCCUAACACAUGCAAGUCGAACGAAGCCUUCGGGCUUAGUGGCGCACGGGUGCGUAACGCGUGUGAAUCUGCCCUUGGGUUCGGAAUCACAGUUAGAAAUGACUGCUAAUACCGGCUGAUGUCUUCGGACCAAAGAUUUAUCGCCCAAGGAUGAGCCCGCGUAGGAUUAGGUAGUUGGUGGGGUAAUGGCCCACCAAGCCGACGAUCCUUAGCUGGUCUGAGAGGAUGAUCAGCCACACUGGGACUGAGACACGGCCCAGACUCCUACGGGAGGCAGCAGUGGGGAAUAUUGGACAAUGGGCGAAAGCCUGAUCCAGCAAUGCCGCGUGAGUGAUGAAGGCCUUAGGGUUGUAAAGCUCUUUUACCAGGGAUGAUAAUGACAGUACCUGGAGAAUAAGCUCCGGCUAACUCCGUGCCAGCCGCCGCGGUAA
RNAcentral lists this ribosomal RNA (449 nucleotides) under uncultured bacterium. Its description in RNAcentral is "partial 16S ribosomal RNA". It matches the Rfam family "Bacterial small subunit ribosomal RNA", at positions 29 to 523 of the family's 1533-position model. The record is from RNAcentral.